Molecule: ribosomal RNA, 2904 nt
Filed under: Escherichia coli
Lineage: Bacteria; Pseudomonadati; Pseudomonadota; Gammaproteobacteria; Enterobacterales; Enterobacteriaceae
Description: bacterial LSU rRNA
Rfam family: Bacterial large subunit ribosomal RNA
Source: RNAcentral
UUAAGCGACUAAGCGUACACGGUGGAUGCCCUGGCAGUCAGAGGCGAUGAAGGACGUGCUAAUCUGCGAUAAGCGUCGGUAAGGUGAUAUGAACCGUUAUAACCGGCGAUUUCCGAAUGGGGAAACCCAGUGUGAUUCGUCACACUAUCAUUAACUGAAUCCAUAGGUUAAUGAGGCGAACCGGGGGAACUGAAACAUCUAAGUACCCCGAGGAAAAGAAAUCAACCGAGAUUCCCCCAGUAGCGGCGAGCGAACGGGGAGCAGCCCAGAGCCUGAAUCAGUGUGUGUGUUAGUGGAAGCGUCUGGAAAGGCGCGCGAUACAGGGUGACAGCCCCGUACACAAAAAUGCACAUACUGUGAGCUCGAUGAGUAGGGCGGGACACGUGGUAUCCUGUCUGAAUAUGGGGGGACCAUCCUCCAAGGCUAAAUACUCCUGACUGACCGAUAGUGAACCAGUACCGUGAGGGAAAGGCGAAAAGAACCCCGGCGAGGGGAGUGAAAAAGAACCUGAAACCGUGUACGUACAAGCAGUGGGAGCACAGAGCAAUCUGUGUGACUGCGUACCUUUUGUAUAAUGGGUCAGCGACUUAUAUUCUGUAGCAAGGUUAACCGAAUAGGGGAGCCGAAGGGAAACCGAGUCUUAACUGGGCGUUAAGUUGCAGGGUAUAGACCCGAAACCCGGUGAUCUAGCCAUGGGCAGGUUGAAGGUUGGGUAACACUAACUGGAGGACCGAACCGACUAAUGUUGAAAAAUUAGCGGAUGACUUGUGGCUGGGGGUGAAAGGCCAAUCAAACCGGGAGAUAGCUGGUUCUCCCCGAAAGCUAUUUAGGUAGCGCCUCGUGAAUUCAUCUCCGGGGGUAGAGCACUGUUUCGGCAAGGGGGUCAUCCCGACUUACCAACCCGAUGCAAACUGCGAAUACCGGAGAAUGUUAUCACGGGAGACACACGGCGGGUGCUAACGUCCGUCGUGAAGAGGGAAACAACCCAGACCGCCAGCUAAGGUCCCAAAGUCAUGGUUAAGUGGGAAACGAUGUGGGAAGGCCCAGACAGCCAGGAUGUUGGCUUAGAAGCAGCCAUCAUUUAAAGAAAGCGUAAUAGCUCACUGGUCGAGUCGGCCUGCGCGGAAGAUGUAACGGGGCUAAACCAUGCACCGAAGCUGCGGCAGCGACGCUUAUGCGUUGUUGGGUAGGGGAGCGUUCUGUAAGCCUGCGAAGGUGUGCUGUGAGGCAUGCUGGAGGUAUCAGAAGUGCGAAUGCUGACAUAAGUAACGAUAAAGCGGGUGAAAAGCCCGCUCGCCGGAAGACCAAGGGUUCCUGUCCAACGUUAAUCGGGGCAGGGUGAGUCGACCCCUAAGGCGAGGCCGAAAGGCGUAGUCGAUGGGAAACAGGUUAAUAUUCCUGUACUUGGUGUUACUGCGAAGGGGGGACGGAGAAGGCUAUGUUGGCCGGGCGACGGUUGUCCCGGUUUAAGCGUGUAGGCUGGUUUUCCAGGCAAAUCCGGAAAAUCAAGGCUGAGGCGUGAUGACGAGGCACUACGGUGCUGAAGCAACAAAUGCCCUGCUUCCAGGAAAAGCCUCUAAGCAUCAGGUAACAUCAAAUCGUACCCCAAACCGACACAGGUGGUCAGGUAGAGAAUACCAAGGCGCUUGAGAGAACUCGGGUGAAGGAACUAGGCAAAAUGGUGCCGUAACUUCGGGAGAAGGCACGCUGAUAUGUAGGUGAAGUCCCUCGCGGAUGGAGCUGAAAUCAGUCGAAGAUACCAGCUGGCUGCAACUGUUUAUUAAAAACACAGCACUGUGCAAACACGAAAGUGGACGUAUACGGUGUGACGCCUGCCCGGUGCCGGAAGGUUAAUUGAUGGGGUCAGCGCAAGCGAAGCUCUUGAUCGAAGCCCCGGUAAACGGCGGCCGUAACUAUAACGGUCCUAAGGUAGCGAAAUUCCUUGUCGGGUAAGUUCCGACCUGCACGAAUGGCGUAAUGAUGGCCAGGCUGUCUCCACCCGAGACUCAGUGAAAUUGAACUCGCUGUGAAGAUGCAGUGUACCCGCGGCAAGACGGAAAGACCCCGUGAACCUUUACUAUAGCUUGACACUGAACAUUGAGCCUUGAUGUGUAGGAUAGGUGGGAGGCUUUGAAGUGUGGACGCCAGUCUGCAUGGAGCCGACCUUGAAAUACCACCCUUUAAUGUUUGAUGUUCUAACGUGGACCCGUAAUCCGGGUUGCGGACAGUGUCUGGUGGGUAGUUUGACUGGGGCGGUCUCCUCCUAAAGAGUAACGGAGGAGCACGAAGGUUGGCUAAUCCUGGUCGGACAUCAGGAGGUUAGUGCAAUGGCAUAAGCCAGCUUGACUGCGAGCGUGACGGCGCGAGCAGGUGCGAAAGCAGGUCAUAGUGAUCCGGUGGUUCUGAAUGGAAGGGCCAUCGCUCAACGGAUAAAAGGUACUCCGGGGAUAACAGGCUGAUACCGCCCAAGAGUUCAUAUCGACGGCGGUGUUUGGCACCUCGAUGUCGGCUCAUCACAUCCUGGGGCUGAAGUAGGUCCCAAGGGUAUGGCUGUUCGCCAUUUAAAGUGGUACGCGAGCUGGGUUUAGAACGUCGUGAGACAGUUCGGUCCCUAUCUGCCGUGGGCGCUGGAGAAUUGAGGGGGGCUGCUCCUAGUACGAGAGGACCGGAGUGGACGCAUCACUGGUGUUCGGGUUGUCAUGCCAAUGGCACUGCCCGGUAGCUAAAUGCGGAAGAGAUAAGUGCUGAAAGCAUCUAAGCACGAAACUUGCCCCGAGAUGAGUUCUCCCUGACUCCUUGAGAGUCCUGAAGGAACGUUGAAGACGACGACGUUGAUAGGCCGGGUGUGUAAGCGCAGCGAUGCGUUGAGCUAACCGGUACUAAUGAACCGUGAGGCUUAACCUU